UAGGGAAUCUUCGGCAAUGGGGGCAACCCUGACCGAGCAACGCCGCGUGAGUGAGAAGGUUUUCGGAUCGUAAAGCUCUGUUGUAAGAGAAGAACGUGUGUGAGAGUGGAAAGUUCACACAGUGACGGUAACUUACCAGAAAGGGACGGCUAACUACGUGCCAC
RNAcentral lists this ribosomal RNA (164 nucleotides) under uncultured bacterium. RNAcentral describes it as "partial 16S rRNA". It matches the Rfam family "Bacterial small subunit ribosomal RNA", at positions 355 to 511 of the family's 1533-position model. The record is from RNAcentral.